RNAcentral lists this ribosomal RNA (433 nucleotides) under uncultured bacterium. RNAcentral describes it as "partial 16S ribosomal RNA". It matches the Rfam family "Bacterial small subunit ribosomal RNA", at positions 29 to 507 of the family's 1533-position model. The record is from RNAcentral.
AACGAACGCUGGCGGCAGGCCUAACACAUGCAAGUCGAGCGGACCCUUCGGGGUUAGCGGCGGACGGGUGAGUAACGCGUGGGAAUAUGCCCUUCUCUACGGAAUAGUCCUGGGAAACUGGGGGUAAUACCGUAUACGCCCUUUGGGGGAAAGAUUUAUCGGGGAAGGAUUAGCCCGCGUUGGAUUAGGUAGUUGGUGGGGUAAUGGCCUACCAAGCCGACGAUCCAUAGCUGGUUUGAGAGGAUGAUCAGCCACACUGGGACUGAGACACGGCCCAGACGCCUACGGGAGGCAGCAGUGGGGAAUGUUAGACAAUGGGGGCAACCCUGAUCGAGCCAUGCCGCGUGAGUGAUGAAGGCCUUAGGGUUGUAAAGCUCUUUCAGCUGGGAAGAGAAUGACGGGACCAGAAGAAGAAGCCGCGGCUAACUCCGUG